Molecule: long non-coding RNA, 2034 nt
Organism: Gorilla gorilla gorilla (western lowland gorilla)
Lineage: Eukaryota; Metazoa; Chordata; Mammalia; Primates; Hominidae
Exons: 6
Source: RefSeq, a predicted model, not a curated record
ACAUAGUGCUACUGUCAUCCCUGCUGGAGAAGGUCCAAAGCACCUCCACCUCUGUGCUUCCAGAGGGGCAUUGUGGUGGCCACUUAAAAUGCUCAGGCUGUACCAUGCACUAGAGCAUCUACCUGGGCAAGGGAUAUGCUGUAUGACACUCUCCUGAUGCUGGGCAGUGGCUGUGAGCCAAAGCACCCAGGCAGCCCUGCCAUCAGAAGGGUAAACCACGGACACCUGAUGCCUUCCUGAAGGAAGAGCACUACGCCUGCCAAACCAUCAAGCGUUGAUGCUCCAGCGCCUUCUACCCGUGGUUCUCCAGCCUCAGCAGAAGAGAGAGAAAUUGAGGACCCUGUCGUUGUAGCAUCCCCAUCACCCAGCAAUUAAUUUUAGUUCAAUGCUUCAAACGCUCUUCAGGCACAGUGUGCGUUCAGCUGUGUCAGCUAAUGCAAAUGGGGGAUCUCAGAAGUCUUAAUGAAGUAACUAUCCCUGAACACUGGGAUCAAUACUCAGAAUCCAGCUGUCAAAUCAACACCAAGCGUUUCACUCGUCGCCCAGCCUAGAGUGCAAUGGCACUAUCUCGGCUCACUAUAACCUCCGCCUCCCGGGUUCAAGCAAUUCUUCUGCUUCAGCGUCCCAAGUAGCUGGGAUUACAGCCGCCUCCUGGAGCAGAUUGUUAAGCUGAUGCGAGUCUGGGCUCUGCCUCACCACUUGUCUCAGAGAAUGUCCAGUGCUAGGAGACUCAUAAGUUGGAGAGAAACGGCCUGAUUUAUAGAAACUGAGUGAGACUUCGGACCACCUGAUGCAGAGAAACCUGUGACCUGAAAAAGUCUAUUUGUGUUUCCUCUGGGAAUCUCGGCCAAGAAGACAGGGACAAGCUCCCAACUCUGACUACCCCUUUUACAGGGAAAAAAAAAUCCCGUGCCUUCUUUGCAGCAAGUGACAAAUCCUUGUCAUAUCGAGAUGGCUUUUCCUCCUCCUCUUCAAACAUCUUUUAGCAGCAACAGCAGCUCAAGUAACUGGAAUUAUUUCAGAGUUAAAAUGCAGGCUUUGUAGACCCUCUUAGACAGACAGAUUCAAUUUCAAAGGAAACUUCUUUGGCUGGGUACUCAGUGUUACACAGGGAUUUGGGGAGUUAAUAUUCACUGUUUCUGUUGUUGGAGAAAAGGAAAGCAGAGUUGCUCUUUCUCAUUACUCUCCCCAAAGCACAUCUGUUUCCUCUCGUAUCUUGGAAUUAGGAAGAUGGAGGAGACUUGAGUGGUGACCCACCUAGCCUCUUGAUGCAUGCUGGGCUCACUUUAAAACUCCCAAAACAGAUGGCAGUUGAUCACGGUUUUAAAGAUCCCAGCAUAGACUUUCUGCAGCCUCCCUUGUUAGCCACUAUCAGCGCUUAACAUUCUGUCAUCUGAAUAACUCCUUAAAAAUGAUAGCAAUGGUAGUAGAAAUUUAAAAAGAACCUCCCAAAAAACAUGCAAAAGCUUACCACCCCAGUAAAUCACCCGCAACAAUGUUGCAACAGUUUAAAUUUACUGCAGAGAGAGCUGAAGUUUAGGAGACACAGCUUUAUAAUAUUUUUGAGAGAUAGUUGAGUGCAAAUGAGUCCUGUUCCUCUUGCAUCAGGGCCUGCUCCACUGAGUCAUCCUGCCUUCAGAAGCUUCCAGCUAAGCAGCAGGCCCCGGCCAUAGGCUUCCUGUGUCCCCAGCCUCCAGAGAACACACGAUGUUCUCAUCGCCCUUAGCUCCAUUCCAGAAGGGGCCUGCAGUUCUGCAGCUUAUCAGGGGUCUACUGGGAAGUGAGAUGUCACUGUCCCUUUCUGGCCCUGCAUUGUCUGUGAGUGGCUCUCUUGGAUUAAGAGUUGGCAAAGUAUGGCCAGUGGCCAGGACUGGCCUGCUGCCUGUUUUUGUUUAACCCGUGAGCUAAGAAUAGUUUUUACCUAUUUUAAGUAGUUGAAAAAAAUAUCAAGAGAAGAAUACUAUUUCGUGAUAUGUGAAAAAUCACAUGAAAUUCAAAUGUAAGUGUCCAUAAAUAAAGUCUUACUGGAAGACA